RNAcentral lists this long non-coding RNA (842 nucleotides) under Mytilus galloprovincialis (Mediterranean mussel). The record is from RNAcentral. Lineage: Eukaryota; Metazoa; Mollusca; Bivalvia; Mytilida; Mytilidae.
UUUUAUUAGCUCACCUGGCCCGAAGGGCCAAGUGAGCUUUUCUCAUCACUUGGCAUCCGUCGUCCGUCGUCGUCGUCGUCGUCGUCGUCCGUCGUCCGUCGUCCGUCGUCGUCGUCCGUCGUCGUUAACUUUUACAAAAAUCUUCUCCUCUGAAACUACUGGGCCAAAUCAAACCAAACUUGGCCACAAUCAUCAUUGGGGUAUCUAGUUUAAAAAAUGUGUGGCGUGACCCGGUCAACCAACCAAGAUGGCCACCACGGCUAAAAAUAGAACAUAGGGGUAAAAUGCAGUUUUUGGCUUAUAACUCAAAAACCAAAGCAUUUAGAGCAAAUCUGACAUGGGGUAAAAAUGUUUAUCAGGUCAAGAUCUAUCUGCCCUGAAAUUUUCAGAUGAAUCGGUCAAUCGGUUGUUGGGUUGCUGCCCCUGAAUUGGUAAUUUUGAGGAAAUUUUGCUGUUUUUGGUUAUUAUCUUGAAUAUUAUUAUAGAUAGAGAUAAACUGUAAACAGCAAUAAUGUUCAGCAAAGUAAGAUCUACAAAUAAGUCAACAUGACCAAAAUGGUCAGUUGACCUGUUUAGGAGUUAUUGCCCUUUAUAGUCAAUUUUUAACCAUUUUUCGUUAAUUAAAGUAAUCUUUUACAAAAAUCUUCUCCUCUGAAACUACUGGGCCAAAUUAAUCCAAACUUGGCCACAAUCAUCUUUGGGGUAUCUAGUUUAAAAAAUGUGUGGCGUGACCUGGUCAACCAACCAAGAUGGCCGCCACGGCUAAAAAUAGAACAUAGGGGUAAAAUGCAGUUUUUGGCUUAUAACUCAAAAACCAAAGCAUUUAGAGGAAAUCUGACGGG